RNAcentral lists this ribosomal RNA (314 nucleotides) under Liacarus subterraneus. Its description in RNAcentral is "eukaryotic LSU rRNA". It matches the Rfam family "Eukaryotic large subunit ribosomal RNA", at positions 666 to 944 of the family's 3401-position model. The record is from RNAcentral. Lineage: Eukaryota; Metazoa; Arthropoda; Arachnida; Sarcoptiformes; Liacaridae. RNAcentral also lists the same sequence under 1 other name.
CCAAGGAGUCUAACAUGUGCGCGAGUCACUCGGUCUUGAAUAGGCCAGAGAGGCGCAAUGAAAGUAAAGUUGAUUGAGUUACGAUCCUCAUGCGGUUAUCCAUUAGGGUAACGGUGAGGCGCAGUAACAGCCCGCCAAUUUCGCUUAUUGACGAUCUGGCGGAGUUGUAGCGUACACGUUGGUACCCGAAAGAUGGUGAACUAUGCCUGGGCAAGACGAAGCCAGAGGAAACUCUGGUGGAGGUCUGUAGCGAUUCUGACGUGCAAAUCGAUCGUCAGACCUGGGUAUAGGGGCGAAAGACUAAUCGAACCAUC